UUCGCCCUUAGAGUUUGAUCCUGGCUCAGGACGAACGCUGGCGGCGCGCCUAACACAUGCAAGUCGAACGAGAGAGAGGGAGCUUGCUUCCUCAAUCGAGUGGCGAACGGGUGAGUAACGCGUGAGGAACCUGCCUCAAAGAGGGGGACAACAGUUGGAAACGACUGCUAAUACCGCAUAAGCCCACAGGUCGGCAUCGACCAGAGGGAAAAGGAGCAAUCCGCUUUGAGAUGGCCUCGCGUCCGAUUAGCUAGUUGGUGAGAUAACAGCCCACCAAGCCGACGAUCGGUAGCCGGACUGAGAGGUUGAUCGGCCACAUUGGGACUGAGACACGGCCCAGACUCCUACGGGAGGCAGCAGUGGGGGAUAUUGCACAAUGGGGGAAACCCUGAUGCAGCGACGCCGCGUGAGGGAAGACGGUUUUCGGAUUGUAAACCUCUGUCUUUAGGGACGAAAAAAUGACGGUACCUAAGGAGGAAGCCACGGCUAACUACGUGCCAGCAGCCGCGGUAAUACGUAGGUGGCAAGCGUUGUCCGGAAUUACUGGGUGUAAAGGGAGCGUAGGCGGGGAGACAAGUUGAAUGUCUAAACUAUCGGCUUAACUGAUAGUCGCGUUCAAAACUAUCACUCUUGAGUGCAGUAGAGGUAGGCGGAAUUCCUAGUGUAGCGGUGAAAUGCGUAGAUAUUAGGAGGAACACCAGUGGCGAAGGCGGCCUACUGGGCUGUAACUGACGCUGAGGCUCGAAAGCGUGGGUAGCAAACAGGAUUAGAUACCCUGGUAGUCCACGCCGUAAACGAUGAUUACUAGGUGUGGGGGGACUGACCCCUUCCGUGCCGGAGUUAACACAAUAAGUAAUCCACCUGGGGAGUACGACCGCAAGGUUGAAACUCAAAGGAAUUGACGGGGGCCCGCACAAGCAGUGGAGUAUGUGGUUUAAUUCGAAGCAACGCGAAGAACCUUACCAGGUCUUGACAUCGAGCGACGAACCAAGAGAUUGGUUCUUCCUUCGGGACGCGAAGACAGGUGGUGCAUGGUUGUCGUCAGCUCGUGUCGUGAGAUGUUGGGUUAAGUCCCGCAACGAGCGCAACCCUUAUCAUUAGUUGCUACGCAAGAGCACUCUAAUGAGACUGCCGUUGAUAAAACGGAGGAAGGUGGGGAUGACGUCAAAUCAUCAUGCCCCUUAUGACCUGGGCUACACACGUACUACAAUGGUGAUCAAACAGAGGGAAGCAACACAGCGAUGUGAAGCAAAUCCCGAAAAAUCAUCUCAGUUCAGAUUGCAGGCUGCAACUCGCCUGCAUGAAGUCGGAAUUGCUAGUAAUCGCGGAUCAGCAUGCCGCGGUGAAUACGUUCCCGGGCCUUGUACACACCGCCCGUCA
Molecule: ribosomal RNA, 1380 nt
Filed under: uncultured bacterium
Lineage: Bacteria
Description: 16S ribosomal RNA
Rfam family: Bacterial small subunit ribosomal RNA
Source: RNAcentral